RNAcentral lists this small RNA (27 nucleotides) under Bombyx mori (domestic silkworm). Its description in RNAcentral is "ovarian small RNA-23346". The record is from RNAcentral. Lineage: Eukaryota; Metazoa; Arthropoda; Insecta; Lepidoptera; Bombycidae.
UAUACUCGUUCUCGAGCUGAUCGGAGC